UUGCUACUGAUCUUAGCGGCGGACGGGUGAGUAAUACUUAGGAAUCUGGCUAUUAGUGGGGGACAACAUUUCGAAAGGGAUGCUAAUACCGCAUACGUCCUACGGGAGAAAGCAGGGGAUCAGUAAUGACCUUGCGCUAAUAGAUGAGCCUAAGUCGGAUUAGCUAGUUGGUGGGGUAAAGGCCUACCAAGGCGACGAUCUGUAGCGGGUCUGAGAGGAUGAUCCGCCACACUGGGACUGAGACACGGCCCAGACUCCUACGGGAGGCAGCAGUGGGGAAUAUUGGACAAUGGGGGGAACCCUGAUCCAGCCAUGCCGCGUGUGUGAAGAAGGCCUUAUGGUUGUAAAGCACUUUAAGCGAGGAGGAGGGUACUGGUAUUAAUACUACCAGCUACUGGACGUUACUCGCAGAAUAAGCACCGGCUAACUCUGUGCCAGCAGCCGCGGUAAUACAGAGGGUGCGAGCGUUAAUCGGAUUUACUGGGCGUAAAGCGUGCGUAGGCGGCUAAUUGAGUCGGAUGUGAAAUCCCCGAGCUUAACUUGGGAAUUGCAUUCGAUACUGGUUAGCUAGAGUGUGGGAGAGGAUGGUAGAAUUCCAGGUGUAGCGGUGAAAUGCGUAGAGAUCUGGAGGAAUACCGAUGGCGAAGGCAGCCAUCUGGCCUAACACUGACGCUGAGGUACGAAAGCAUGGGGAGCAAACAGGAUUAGAUACCCUGGUAGUCCAUGCCGUAAACGAUGUCUACUAGCCGUUGGU
RNAcentral lists this ribosomal RNA (754 nucleotides) under Acinetobacter sp. RNAcentral's name for it is "bacterial SSU rRNA". It matches the Rfam family "Bacterial small subunit ribosomal RNA", at positions 80 to 827 of the family's 1533-position model. The record is from RNAcentral. Lineage: Bacteria; Pseudomonadati; Pseudomonadota; Gammaproteobacteria; Moraxellales; Moraxellaceae.